GACGAACGCUGGCGGCGUGCCUAAUACAUGCAAGUCGAACGCAGUGGGGACGGGUGAGUAACACGUGGGUAACCUCCCAUCAGAGGGGAUAACACUUGGAAACAGGUGCUAAACCGAUACUGAUGGAUGGACCCGCGGUGCAUUAGCUAGUUGGUGAGGUAACGGCGCACCAAGGCCACGAUGCAUAGCCGGACUGGGGAGGUGAUCAGCCACACUGGGACUGGGGAACGGGCCAGAAUCCUAAGGGGGGGAACAGUAGGGAAACUUCGGCAAUGGACUGAAAUCUGGCCGAGCAACGCCGCGUGAGUGAAGAAAGUUUUCGGAUCGUAAAGCUCUGUUGUUAGAGAAGCGGUAACUAACCAGAAAGGGACGGCUAACUACGUGCCAGCAGCCGCGGUAAUAC
Molecule: ribosomal RNA, 403 nt
Filed under: uncultured bacterium
Lineage: Bacteria
Description: partial 16S ribosomal RNA
Rfam family: Bacterial small subunit ribosomal RNA
Source: RNAcentral